Molecule: unclassified non-coding RNA, 703 nt
Filed under: Hevea brasiliensis (rubber tree)
Lineage: Eukaryota; Viridiplantae; Streptophyta; Magnoliopsida; Malpighiales; Euphorbiaceae
Source: RNAcentral
AAAAUAAAAUAAAAUAAAACAAAACCAAAAUUUCACAUACUUAAAACCAAAUCACACUUGUUGCUGCACAUGCAUAUGCAUCUAUAUCUUCUACUCCAAUUCCAGUAGUCCCCAAGCUAACAGUGGACUUGCCGUGCAUAGCAACAACACUAACAAAAAUUCUAGAAUAUAUAAUUUAUAUUAUGUUAUCAUAUUAUAAAGAGUUAGAAAGAACCAUAUUUUAGUCUUUAGUUUAUAAUUAUAUCAUUUUUUUUUAUUCUUUACACAGUCAAUACUCUUAAAUCUUAUUAAAUGUAUAGCGUUUGGAUUAGUGCCGGCUUAUGGUAGUCUAAACUCUAAAGCAUUUACUUCGUACUAAAAAGUUUGGGUGUAGUAUUGUUCAAAAAUGGCUUCCAAGUCCUAGAAAAGGGAUCUGAAGUCAAUAUAUUUGUUAAAACUUCAUAUUUUGAAAUUUUUUUUUUUGGGUUGACAUGGAUAUAUUUUGUUGUCAAAUGAUUUUGAGAACUUUAACCAAACCUUACAAUUUGAUUCUCGAGUCACCAAAUGAGGAUUCCAUAUCUCAAUUUAACAACUACCAUAUUGAGUAUGGUUUUUCUAGCUCAAAUUUAGAUAUACUCGUCAAUGAUAUGAAAUCUUGGGACAGUGUCAACUGUUGCUGAGAGAAACUAUGGAUAAAUUACCUGAAUGCAGAAACGAACAGUGU